Molecule: long non-coding RNA, 296 nt
Filed under: Mytilus galloprovincialis (Mediterranean mussel)
Lineage: Eukaryota; Metazoa; Mollusca; Bivalvia; Mytilida; Mytilidae
Source: RNAcentral
GUCAUAGAUUCCCGGGAGUGUGCUAAAUGCCGAAAGUUGUUACAACAAAGCAUACAUCUACUGUUAUGAAUUUGUUGCCCUGUUCCUGUGCUACAAGUCGAUAUCAAUUUUUUAUAGGUGGCCCAAAUAUUAUGGCCGCAACGUCUGUCAACCUAAGGUGUGCGUGUUUACGAUUACGUUAACAAAAUGACACCUCCGCUAACGUUAUUGGGUCUUAUCGUUUUCUCCGUUUUUUCAAAAAUACCGGCGAGUUUAUCGGCUGAGCACAACUUUAGUGUUAUUAGUGAGUUGCCCUG